GGCGCCGCGCGAGAGGGUCGUCGAGGCCGCGGCGUAGACUGAACUACAUCUCAGUCAGUGGCUAAGACCGCCAUAACACUGCUCAUCCGAAAGCAUAGACACUCGUGACCGGAACGAAAGCUUUUUGCAAGCACUUUGCUGUUCCCAAAGCAGGUCCCGAGCGCCGUAAAAACAGGUCAAUUAAUGUGGACUUCGGAACCGAGGGAAAGAAAAAAUAGUCAAAGGACAUUGGACUUGAAGAACAUUAUCAUAAUCACAAAAUAUUACUCCUGCGGCCGUCGACGAUAUUGAGCAACGUGCCGGAGACGCAGAGAAAGGGCGGUUCAAGGCGGCGCCGCCAAGGAAAUCAAGGAAAGGCGAUACCAUUCCAGGCGGACAGAUGGCCUCGCGUCCUCACCCGGCCUCCGGGACCGCCCAGCUCAUCAAGCACACCGUGAACGGAUUCCGGUACCAGGUGGCUGUCGUGACCAAGGGGCGGGCGGUGUUCGCGCAGGUGGUGGAAUGGCUGUACCGGGGGGGGCCAUGUGUUCAGACUUACUUUGUCAGUCUAGGAUAUACUGAUGCCGACUACAGACGGAAGUUUAACAGUGAGCAGAGAGCUUUGCUUGACAGGAAGGCCCCGUUCAGAGAGUACGACAUCUCAUUUCUCUAUAUCAUUCUUCAACUCAUGUGUGGACUAGCCAACCCCAAUAACUGCGUAUGGAAUUCUCCCAAGAAAGGGCAGCCUCUCGAACACCUUCUCUACAAGAUUAAACAAAAGAGGAACAACUUUGCGCACUCGAAUGAUGUGCAGCAGAUGUCAGACCAGAAGCUUAUUAAAGAGUUCAAGAGACUAAAGUGUUUAUUCUCAAGGAUCAUACGACUGGCGGGAAGCCAGAGCGGGAUACGGCCAAACGUAUAUCGCGACGAAGUGUCUGAGAUCAAACUUGACUUUCGAGACCUCUUGCAGAAGGUCAGGGAACCUCUUCAAGGGUCGGACUUGAACCUGCUCCCGCAACUCCAACAAGAAAUCGAAGUGUUUAAGGAUAUACUUCAGCGCAAGCUGGAGGACGACUGUCGGAAGGAGUUGCACAAUCUCUACCCAUUUCUGUGGGAUGUCACCCUUGCGCAAUGGCUGUUUCCAGACCUCAAACUCCCACCGAGUCAGAACUUCACGAACCUGGUGCUCGAGGAAGAUUUAGGGGCGUGUCCACCAUCGUGGCAGCAGCCUAGGACAGUUCCUCAUGAAACUCUGCUGGAGGUUACCUGCGGCGGUCAGCUGGCCCAAGUGAUCAUCAUAUCAGGUGAGGGAGGAAUAGGGAAAACCACGCUGCUGAAAUACAUGCUGGAGAUGUGGGUGAGAGAUCCCUCGCAAAUCAAGGGGCUUCGAGAUGUUUUGCCUCUCAUGUAUCUGCAGCUUCGAGGUUCUAACAUCAGCAGUUGGAAGGAACUGUUUAAGAAUCUCCUUUGCAAUACAUUUAUGGAGUCUGGCCUUACUAUGGACACCUUUCUAGACGUGUUGCACAAAAUGCACGUCGUUGUGCUUCUGGAUGGCUAUGAUGAGGCGAAUGAAAAAGCAAAGAGACUCAUUGACGAUCUCUUAAACUACGCUGGCAACAUGCGAAUUGUGAUUAGCACAAGACCAGGCGACGCCCAAGAGCUGACUUCGUUGAUCGGGAAUAAAAAGCAGGUCAUGAACGUCGAAAUCAAAGGGAUCCUUCGGGAAGAUCGGCCUCGCCUCGUGGAAGGCACCCUGGCUGCCCUUGUGCGCGAGCCAAGCCUAAAGGACAAAAUGAAGGAUAAAGUCCUGCAACAUCUGGAAAGGUUGGCUUUGCAAAAGGACGAGCUGGACAUCCCCCUGACAGUCAUACUUUUGAUCGUCCGAGAGGUCGAGGCGCCAGACCAAAGUUCAGAAAACAUCUAUGAGGAACUGAUGGCUCUCAUGACGGGCAAGAUUGAGGAGAGGUUAGUCCUGAAGGGCAUUGAGGAUGCGAACGAGAAGAUCAGAGCUUAUUGCGAUUUCCAAAAGGAAGUCGCUCCUCGGGGCGUGAAGAGACUUGAAAGGGACGUGUUGGAGGAAGGCAUUGCAAGUCUGAAAGCUAAGUGCAUCAGUCUCCAUCUGCCGUGGAGGGAAAUGCUCUCUGGAUUUCUCAUUUCGAAAUAAUCCUUAAAAAAAAGACUUGUUUAUCUUCUACAUCAGAUUUCAACAUUACAUGGUCAUGAAAUAUUUAACGAUUUCUAGAAAGUACAAUCCAACGUUAAUAUGAUGAACCAUUGAAUAAGACGAAUACGUGAGAUCAAAGUGAGAGAUCUGGGAUUGCAAAGUGACUCAGCAUUUUUGAUGGAAACUCCCAGGACGAUUUGUAUUUUAAUUUUCGCCUAAUCACGAGGCGCCUUACUCCGCUUCCAGUGUUCAUUACAAAUGCAGAUAUGGUUUGUUUUUGGUUAAUUGAUGUUUUCAGUGCAUUUGUUAUAUCAGAAACAAAUGCUGAGACAUUCGAUAUAGUUAGACACGCAGAAUAAAUGCAAAGUUCACCCCCGGGUUUCUUGCAUGGAAUCAGGACCAAAGAAGGGGACAUCACACUGGGAAAUCUCUCCUCAGGAAGAUCUGGACGGACAUCAGGCAUGCCACGAUGCAAAAAAAUAUAUGCCAUUAUUAUUUUUCUGAGGCAUAUUUAUACCCAAGUUCCGGUUGGGGCGGUUGUCCCCCUCCCCCCCCUCCCCGAGUAACUACGUAUGAAGGUGACAAGCGAAGCACCGAGAGUCGUCCUCCUGAGAGCCUGAGAGCCUGGCUGGGCGGAGAAAAAGGACUCUCUGGCGGGGAGGACCUGAUGAAGGACUUGAAGGACUUGUCAGCGGAGGGAAUGUGGCCAUGAGUCCGCUCCCGCAAAUGUUCAAGCUUAGGAGAAGCUGCACGGUGAUAGCGAUAAAUAUCAACAGCCUGACAGCAGGGGCGUAGCCAAUAUUCUGGUAAAGGGGUGAGCCCAUGGUGAAAAAUAGGGGCCAAUACAGUAUACCCAUGUACACCAUAUACAUCCAGAUAAUGGUGUAUUGUCAGAGCGGUACGAGAGUUUGGGUUACGGCUCGGCAGCGGGGAGAAGGCGGCCCAGGACGAGAAGCGAGAGACCGAGUGUGGCGCCAUAGGGGACGCCGUAUGAUUUUCAUGAAUAAAGCCAUCUCGAGCAGCUUA
This 3169-nucleotide unclassified non-coding RNA is filed under the name Penaeus japonicus. RNAcentral describes it as "uncharacterized LOC122253146, transcript variant X3". The record is from RNAcentral. Lineage: Eukaryota; Metazoa; Arthropoda; Malacostraca; Decapoda; Penaeidae.